GCUCCACUCCUGGUGGUGCCCUUCCGUCAAUUCCUUUAAGUUUCAGCUUUGCAACCAUACUUCCCCCGGAACCCAAAAGCUUUGGUUUCCCGGAAGCUGCCCGCCGAGUCAUCGGAGGAACGUCGGCGGAUCGCUAGCUGGCAUCGUUUAUGGUCAGAACUAGGGCGGUAUCUGAUCGCCUUCGAACCUCUGACUUUCGUUCUUGAUUAAUGAAAACAUUUUUGGCAAAUGCUUUCGCUUCUGUCCGUCUUGCGACGAUCCAAGAAUUUCACCUCUAACGUCGCAAUACGAAUGCCCCCAUCUGUCCCUAUUAAUCAUUACCUCGGGGUUCCGAAAACCAACAAAAUAGAACCGAGGUCCUGUUCCAUUAUUCCAUGCACACAGUAUUCAGGCGAAAUUUUAGCCUGCUUUGAGCACUCUAAUUUGUUCAAAGUAAACGUGCCGGCCCGCCUCGACACUCAAUUAAGAGCACCGCGACAGGAUUAUUGAGUCGGACGGUAAAGCGCCUGCAACCCCACCACAUCAUACAGUAACAACCGAAGUUGCACACGCACAAUGGGGAAGCAUACAGGGUCUACGCGUCCACCGGCAGGACGUUCCGCGGACGUGCCAGUUAAACACCGCGGGCGGUGAACCGACAGCGCGGAACACAAAUUCAACUACGAGCUUUUUAACCGCAACAACUUUAAUAUACGCUAUUGGAGCUGGAAUUACCGCGGCUGCUGGCACCAGACUUGCCC
This 740-nucleotide ribosomal RNA is filed under the name Typhlocharis sp. 4 aff. baetica CA-2017. RNAcentral's name for it is "partial 18S ribosomal RNA". The record is from RNAcentral. Lineage: Eukaryota; Metazoa; Arthropoda; Insecta; Coleoptera; Carabidae.